UGUAAAAUAUGCACAAAAUCAAUUAUUCAUUUUAGUUAUAAUUUUUUACCGUAUCAUUUUAUACACAAACUUUAAAAUUUCAAAACUUCGAUAGAUUAAUAGAGACAAGUAUGCAGGAGAUCUCCAACGAUGUACAAUUAUAGUCAUUCGUCAAGAUUUUACGCAGGGAAAAUCAUUGAAAGUGUUCAUCAAAAUCAUAGAAAAUGAGAAAAAGGUAACGUUUGUCGUGGAUCUAAAGAGAGUCAGAAGGAAUUGUCUAUAAUAAAAUCGUCUAUAUAACAAUUCUCAUAUUUUAUAAUAAAUAAUAAAU
This 310-nucleotide small RNA is filed under the name Arabidopsis thaliana (thale cress). Its description in RNAcentral is "ATSL080270". Lineage: Eukaryota; Viridiplantae; Streptophyta; Magnoliopsida; Brassicales; Brassicaceae. The record is from RNAcentral.